RNAcentral lists this ribosomal RNA (387 nucleotides) under uncultured bacterium. RNAcentral describes it as "bacterial SSU rRNA". It matches the Rfam family "Bacterial small subunit ribosomal RNA", at positions 28 to 414 of the family's 1533-position model. The record is from RNAcentral.
GACGAACGCUGGCGGCGUGCUUAACACAUGCAAGUCGAGCGGUAAGGCUCCUUCGGGAGUACACGAGCGGCGAACGGGUGAGUAACACGUGAGCAAUCUGCCCUUCACUUUGGGAUAACUCCGGGAAACCGGUGCUAAUACCCGAAUGCGACCACUUCAGGCAUCUGACGGUGGUGGAAAGUUCCGGCGGUGAAGGAUGAGCUCGCGGCCUAUCAGCUUGUUGGUGAGGUAAUGGCUCACCAAGGCUUCGACGGGUAGCCGGCCCUGAGAGGGUGACCGGCCACACUGGGACUGAGACACGGCCCAGACUCCUACGGGAGGCAGCAGUGGGGAAUAUUGGACAAUGGGCGAAAGCCUGAUCCAGCAACGCCGCGUGAGGGAUGACGG